RNAcentral lists this ribosomal RNA (245 nucleotides) under uncultured bacterium. Its description in RNAcentral is "partial 16S ribosomal RNA". It matches the Rfam family "Bacterial small subunit ribosomal RNA", at positions 524 to 768 of the family's 1533-position model. The record is from RNAcentral.
UACGUAGGAUGCAAGCGUUAUCCGGAUUUAUUGGGCGUAAAGCGUCUGUAGGUGGUUUGUUAAGUUGGAGAUGAAAGACCUAGGCUCAACUUAGGGAACGUUUCCAAAACUGGCAGACUAGAGAUAGGAAGAGGCAAGCGGAACUUGUGGUGUAGGGGUAAAAUCCGUAGAUAUCACAGGGAACGCCAAAUGCGAAAGCAGCUUGCUAGUCCUUUUCUGACACUGAGAGACGAAAGCGUGGGUAG